Bos taurus (domestic cattle) is the source of this 2104-nucleotide long non-coding RNA. NCBI's taxonomy places the organism in Eukaryota, Metazoa, Chordata, Mammalia, Artiodactyla, Bovidae. The record is from Ensembl.
AAGACAGCCUUCAAAUUAUAGCAAAAACCAAUGCGAGUCAUUUAUUUAGACAUUUAUUUCACAUACAAGUUUUCAAGAAGACAUCUAAGUGAACAUUCACACAAAACAAUGAGUGGACAUACAUUUAUACUAGGAAUGCAUUCAGAGGUAAGGGCUUAGCAUUGCACUUGGGGUGUCCCCGGCUCCCUCAGAGUUGAGGCUUGUCUGUCAUGGGGCACCAGGGUCCCCAAAUUGGCUUUCUUCACUGCAGCUACCUGCCACGGUCUGUCGCCUGCUGUUGAACAUGAGUGAUUUGUCCCUUCUCCUCACUGAGCAUGCUCCUAGACUGCUCACAGCAACCUCUUGCUGAAGUACGGGAUGGACUCAUGGAAUGGAUUCAGUAUGGCCUGAACGCUGCCUGCGGUGGCAAGCCAGGGUGGCGGCCUGGUCUUAUAACUUCUCUCUUCUGAUGCCCCACAGCCUCAUAGGAGCUGGAGUGGUCUUGGCAAUCAUGCUCAACUUCUCUUCAGAUAAGGAACUCAGGCCCAGAGAGAGACUGGUUUGUCCAACAACACUCAGAAAGUGGUAGUGACAAGAAUGAAACCUGUCUUACAGCUUCUGGUCUAAUGCUUAUUCUAGGUGGCAGGCUGCCCUGAGCUGUUUUAAGCAUACUGUGAAGUUUUCCUCUUAAAAAAAAAAAAAAUGUUUCCUUCCAGAUGAAUAAAGUAGGUUGUAUGUGUAAUAAAAAUGCCAGUAAGAAUUAGGGUGUUUGUGGGAGUAACACAGUAAGCGCAGGCAGGGAUACAGCCAGGCUCCAAAGGGUCUUGGUUAAGAAGUCAGAGAAUAAAAUGACUACUUACGUACACUUAAAAAAAAUAGGAUAUGGGGUACAAAGAUAUAAGACAGGAUUAAGUAAAUACAUGUUUAAGUGGUUGGCUGAGGUGACUUAAAAGUUCUGUUUUUGUAAGUUUCUUUGUUCCAGCAGCCAGAACAAAGAAAGAAUAGUAGUAAGUUGCUUAAAAAAAAAAAAAAAAGUCACAGUGUUUGUAAGGUAACAUUGUUUUUGCUUUAGGAUCAGAGCUUUCCCUGCUACUGAAACUUAGGGGAAAAACUUGUAUGGAUUGUCAUGAAGGCAAUGUUAUGUGAUAUGAGACACAGUAAUCAGAGUGUGACUUCACUUUUGACUUUCAUGUCCACCUGAAAAAAGACAAAAUACAAACAGCCUUGGUCUAAGAUGGUGGGCAGGACUGUCUCCUUCUAUAGAAGCAAAGUUCAUUCAGUUAAUUUAAUACAAGUCCAAAUGCCCACUUACAACUGAGAAUAGGUAAGGGGACCCAAAUUCCACCUCGGCAUGAUCCCAGACAUGACAGACAGAAUUGGAUUAUUCCACCUGGAGAAGGAAUGGUUCCUGAGCCUUUCUGGCCACUGGGGAAGUUUAAGAGACGGAGGUAGAGAAUAUGAUUUUAGGCAUUGAGAAAAACUCUUCUGCAAGAGAAGGUGGCUCUUUCAUUAAUGAACAAAUAAUGUUCCAUAACGGACAUGAAUGUAAUUGGCAUUAUCUUUUGCUGCAAUAGUUCGUUCACCAUGUUGCACGUUUCUUGAGCACAGACACCAAGCCUUUUUUCAUUUCUAUAUCCCUCACUGUGCCUAGGAACAUAGCCUUACACAUAACCGUGCUUAAUUAAUACUUAUAGUAAAUCAUCUACUUUCCUGAAUCAUGCUUUGAUAUAAUGAUCAACCCUGGGUACCUAUUACUAAGUGGUGACUCUAUUAAUGUGCAUCUUCUCUAGAGCAGUGAUUCCAGAACAUCUACACAAUACAAGCACACACCCACGGGCACCACACACACCUCUCUGUGCUGGGCACACUAGUGACGUGAAACUUCACUUAACUAUUAGGGAUUUAUAAUUUGGACAACGCAGCGGAAAUCAACCUAGUGAGAUGUGAACAAUCGUAACGCUCCUAACGCAUGUCAGAAAGAAACAUUUAUCAACGUUUACCUGAGUCACCUGCCUUCCAACAGGCCACAGCCUAUUCUGACACCAUAGGUUGGAUUUCCUUCCUUCCUGCCUAUAUCCUCCUUGGUACCUUCUUGGAUAAGUUUCAGAAAAUUCAAACAUACUCA